AACGCGAAGAACCUUACCUAGACUUGACAUCUCCUGCAUUACUCUUAAUCGAGGAAGUCUCUUCGGGACAGGAUGACAGGUGGUGCAUGGUUGUCGUCAGCUCGUGUCGUGAGAUGUUGGGUUAAGUCCCGCAACGAGCGCAACCCUUAUUGUUAGUUGCCAUCAUUAAGUUGGGCACUCUAGCGAGACUGCCCGGGUUAACCGGGAGGAAGGUGGGGAUGACGUCAAAUCAUCAUGCCCCUUAUGUCUAGGGCUACACACGUGCUACAAUGGUCGGUACAAUAAGACGCAAGCCCGCGAGGGGGAGCAAAACUGGAAAACCGAUCUCAGUUCGGAUUGUAGGCUGAAACUCGCCUACAUGAAGCUGGAGUUGCUAGUAAUCGCGAAUCAGCAUGUCGCGGUGAAUACGUUCCCGGGUCUUGUACACACCG
Molecule: ribosomal RNA, 431 nt
Filed under: uncultured Terrisporobacter sp.
Lineage: Bacteria; Bacillati; Bacillota; Clostridia; Peptostreptococcales; Peptostreptococcaceae
Description: bacterial SSU rRNA
Rfam family: Bacterial small subunit ribosomal RNA
Source: RNAcentral